Molecule: ribosomal RNA, 253 nt
Filed under: uncultured bacterium
Lineage: Bacteria
Description: partial 16S ribosomal RNA
Rfam family: Bacterial small subunit ribosomal RNA
Source: RNAcentral
UACGGAGGGGGCUAGCGUUGUUCGGAAUUACUGGGCGUAAAGUGCACGUAGGCGGCUUUGCAAGUUAGAGGUGAAAGCCCGGGGCUCAACUCCGGAAUUGCCUUUAAAACUGCAUCGCUAGAAUUGUGGAGAGGUAAGUGGAAUUCCGAGUGUAGAGGUGAAAUUCGUAGAUAUUCGGAAGAACACCAGUGGCGAAGGCGACUUACUGGACACAUAUUGACGCUGAGGUGCGAAAGCGUGGGGAGCAAACAGG